CCCACCUGCACAGGUAGCAGAAAUAACACGCACAAAAGUCUAUAAAAUAUCUAAUGAGAGAUCAGGGAACUAUUAACUGUAUGUGCAUGUAAACUACACAUUAUAUGGCUGGGGCUCGGCUGAUCAGUAAAUUCACUUUUUUGUUUUAAAAGGGGGAAGUGUAAACACAGUACACUAUAAAACCAAAUAAUCUAACCUCUUCUCUUAGAUCCAGUUUGAGCCUCUCCAGCUCCUUGAUGAGUUGAUUCUUCAGUGCAGAUUGCUUCUUUGCAACCAGAGGCUGUCGACAGGUGGAACAUGGAAGUCUGAGUCAUGCUGGUUAUGUAUGCAAGAUAUCCACAAGUGAACCCAUGCCUCUGCACAGCAGUGAUUCGCAAACACCAGAGGUCAUCAUUUCAGUACAUACGCUAUUUUUGAGGUUGGGAAAUGUGUUUUUGAAGAAUGUGCGACCACCUUAACCCUCUAAAUUUCAAUUCAACAGAAUAGGAUUUUAUGAUUUGUGCUUGACAAUAAAAUUCAUAUAUUUGUAGAAAUGUUGAAGAUGCUACAAACAUGUUCAGCGUCAAGAACAAUGAGUUCCUCCUCAUCCUCAUUCAGUGGUUCCUCUUCCUCCAUGUCUGAGGAGUUUGCAAAGUGGGUUGGUGACCCAGCCUGGGAAGUAUUGCCCUGCUCUGAUACACAGAAAAAGCAUUGUUUUAUCGCCCUACAGUAUGUGUUAAAAGACUGUACUGAAGAUUUAUGCAAAACUCAAUUGUGCUUCUAACUCUAUCCCAUAUUCUAAUUAAGUGCUCACGUGGGAUCUUUAUGGAAAUUGCGGUUUUAUACUACAAUGGUUUUCUUUGCAAGGAAUCUUCCAAUCCAUGAGAUUUUAUAUCAAACAAACCAGUAUGUCUUGUUGCAGCAGGGCCUCCUUCAGCACCAGUCUUGUCAGCUUGAGACUGUGGGCCUACAUCAACAGGUUCUGAUUCUGGCUGAUGUGAGAACAAUGAAUCAAGUGCUCAUGAUCUUAAUUGAAUUGUUGAAAUUGAGGGGGGGGAGAUCUUGAAACAUUCUGGUUUGUCGGUUCCACAUAUUUACCUGUAGAGGAGACAUAUUUUCUCCAACGUAGUUUGCUCCUUGUUUGCCAUCCAGCGGAUCGGUUUGUUCCUCUUCUGCUAAUUGCUCUUUGGCUCUCUGCAUCGAGACUGAGCAGUCAGCAAUGAAACCACAAAAUUAGAGCUAGCCUACUUUAGCACGCAUUAAUUGAUUCCAAGACAUAUGGUUUAAUAGCACGCAUUAAUUGAUUCUAAGACAUAUGGUUUAACUGGCUAACGACUGGUUCGUGCCAAUAAGUUUAGCUAGCAUACCAUAGCAAACUAUGUACAGUAACUACUUGUCUUUAAAUCCGCACAAUUCAUGCCAAUAUUGAACAAACUUACACGAGUAUUCAGUAUUAAUUGACAACGUACGACCUUAAUCUUAUCUCAACAGCCUUUCGCGUCCGUAUAGCACAGCCGAAGAUUACGAGUUGCUCGGCAACCCUAAACUUCCGCUCGAGGAAGCGGCUGCCACUAACCAAAUUUGGCAAUUUGGCGUGUCUAAUAAUCAGAGGUGGUUUCUUAAAUUGAGUAGAAAUAUACUUGUGUAAAAUACUGCGGUAAUUAACUACAGUACUGCUCUAAGUAAAAUAGUUUAUUUACGUACAAAAAAAUAAAAAAUUAAAUGUUACUGUCAAUUAAUAGUAGCCUAUUAAUUUACAAAAUACCUUGUGUACAUAGAAAAAAAACACGUUACAUGUUGCGUGUUUUAGAGCAGAGCUCGUCUUUUAUGUUAUCAAAACAAAGUCCUUCGUGAACCCAGUUAAAGAAAAAGCUAAAUUAGAUAUAACUGAAAAAAUACACCGUACUUGUAUGUGAUUUUAAAAUAAGACCGCGACCCUACUGAGGAUAAGCGGUACGGAAGAUGAAUAAAUGAAUAAUAAUGCUAAUAUUAAUCUGAGAUUAUUAUCAUGGCCAGUUAAUGAACUAUAAAAUAAAUAGGCUCCAAAUAUAUAUAUUUUUUUACCCAACGUCAGAAGGGGCCGGGGCGUGCGUUUGCGAGCAACCCAGUUUCAAAAAUACUUUUGACACAAAAUAAAUUCAUCAUCUUAUCAAAGUGUGAAUGAUGCUACAUUUUAAUUACUAACAAAUAUAGUAUUACCUCCACAGCAUGUUGUUCCCCCCCCAAAAAAGAAAGAAAAAAAAUCCACUUAAAAAGGCCAAAAACUGCCUGAGGCUAAUGUCAGGCAAUGCCGUGAAAAGCGACAUGGCGUCCAUAAACCAUGUGACGUGAAUUUAACCAAUGUGGAGCAGUGUGAUGAAUUCAGUGUCCAGACUUUGCUACAACUUCGGAAAAGUAACAAGUCUAUUUUGAGAAAGGUGUACCAUGCCUCUUGCCGAGUCAGCUGGGAUAGGCUGCAGCAAGCCCGUGACCCUGGUGAGGAUAAGCGCUAAGGAAGCUGGAUGGAUAACAAAUGGUGAGGAUAAGCGGUAAGGAAGAUGGAUGGAUGGAUAACAAACUCAGUGAGGAUAAGCAGUAAGGAAGAUGGAUGGAUGGAUAACAAACUCAGAAAAUUACUAAAACAACCAGUUCAGGGUGUACCCCAACCCUUGCCCAAAGAGAGCUGGGAUAGGCUCCAGCACACCUGCGACCCUAGUGUGGAUAAGCGGUACAGAAAAUGGAUGGAUGGAUAGGGAUAAACAAGCGAAGGUUAUUGGUGCAAUUUAUAAAAACCUUAAUUCAGGAAGCUAAUGUCGAGGGACAAAAACAAUAGACUUGCUAUUUAUUUUUUUAAUCAUUUCAGAUUUUGCUUCAUAAACAAGGCAGAUACACAAUCACUUAAUUUGGCUUAAAAAUUGCACAUCCAUUUUUAACAGGUCAGUAAUAAUUCACAGAUACAAAUCACCGUGAUCUUCAUAUACCCUAAAAAAAAAAAAAUCACGAUUCCAUUUAUUUCAAAGUAGACAAAAACAGAAGCCACAUGCCACCUCAUGAAAAAAUAUUUAACAAAAAGCUGAGGCAUAUGGGUAAAUAACCACAAAAUGUAUUCUGUUGCAGCCCAUUAGUAUCCUUACAAUAAGGACAAGCAGUUUUAAUUCCUGUAAAUGUGUUGUAGCAAUUGUAACUAACAGUACAUCGCAACGGAUGAGUGUACCUUUUAGCAGAGAGGACUGGCACUAUAUGCCGCCCGAAUCGGAGGACUUUGGUUAACAGAAGUAUGACAUUCCCCCCCCCCCAGCAAGGUGCCCUAUAAGUCUAUACAUUCUUGGCAAGAGAGGCUUUACUAUUGAGUACCUUAGCAUCAUCAGAGUAUGGUCAAACUUAAAUGACAUGGCUCUUUGCAAGCACGAUCUUUGUUCAAGUUGUUUAACUCAAUCUACCUCCAACACUUAAGUGUUCAUUAAAAAUAAAUGAUAAUUACGCCACAAUUAUUGAGACAUACUGUACACUGCAUUUCAUCACAAGAAUGUGAAAAGGAAAACUCUUCUUUGUGCAGUCACUUGCAUA
Molecule: long non-coding RNA, 3525 nt
Organism: Phyllopteryx taeniolatus (common seadragon)
Lineage: Eukaryota; Metazoa; Chordata; Actinopteri; Syngnathiformes; Syngnathidae
Exons: 2
Source: RefSeq, a predicted model, not a curated record